UACGUAGGGUCCGAGCGUUGUCCGGAAUUAUUGGGCGUAAAGAGCUCGUAGGCGGUUUGUCGCGUCUGCUGUGAAAUCCCGAGGCUCAACCUCGGGUCUGCAGUGGGUACGGGCAGACUGGAGUGCGGUAGGGGAGAAUGGAAUUCCUGGUGUAGCGGUGGAAUGCGCAGAUAUCAGGAGGAACACCGAUGGCGAAGGCAGUUCUCUGGGCCGUAACUGACGCUGAGGAGCGAAAGCGUGGGGAGCAAACAGG
This 253-nucleotide ribosomal RNA is filed under the name uncultured bacterium. Its description in RNAcentral is "partial 16S ribosomal RNA". It matches the Rfam family "Bacterial small subunit ribosomal RNA", at positions 524 to 776 of the family's 1533-position model. The record is from RNAcentral.